This 676-nucleotide ribosomal RNA is filed under the name Lactarius sp. NA12_P32_K10. RNAcentral describes it as "eukaryotic LSU rRNA". The stretch from base 217 to 370 matches the Rfam family "5.8S ribosomal RNA". The record is from RNAcentral. Lineage: Eukaryota; Fungi; Basidiomycota; Agaricomycetes; Russulales; Russulaceae.
GAGGCAUGUGAGGGCUGUCGCUGACUUUUUAACGCAAAAGGUCGUGCACGCCCGGAGCGUGUCCUCUCGCAUAAAAUCCAUCUCACCCUUUUGUGCACCACCGCGUGGGCACCCUUUGGGAUCAAACCGAUCCAGGAGGGCGCUUGCGUUUUCACACAAACCCCCUUUUAAAAGUGUAGAAUGACCCCAUUUUUGCGAUAACACGCAAUCAAAUACAACUUUCAACAACGGAUCUCUUGGCUCUCGCAUCGAUGAAGAACGCAGCGAAAUGCGAUACGUAAUGUGAAUUGCAGAAUUCAGUGAAUCAUCGAAUCUUUGAACGCACCUUGCGCCCCUUGGUAUUCCGAGGGGCACACCCGUUUGAGUGUCGUGAAAAUCUCAACCUCCUCGGUUUCUUCUGGACGCCGAAGGAGGCUUGGACUUUGGAGGCCUUUGCUGGCGUCUCUCGCCAGCUCCUCUCAAAUGAAUUAGCGGGGUCCUCUUUGCCGAUCCUCGACGUGUGAUAAGAUGUUUCCAUGUCUUGGUUUCUGGCUCUGUCGCCUUUGGGACCCGCUUCUAACCGUCUCAAGUCGAGACAACGUUUGAGCGUGUCUCCCUUCUCGGGAAACACCCUCGAGCCCACGAACCCUUGACCUCAAAUCGGGUGAGACUACCCGCUGAACUUAAGCAUAUCAAU